Molecule: ribosomal RNA, 492 nt
Filed under: uncultured bacterium
Lineage: Bacteria
Description: partial 16S ribosomal RNA
Rfam family: Bacterial small subunit ribosomal RNA
Source: RNAcentral
AGUGAACGCUGGCGGUAGGCCUAACACAUGCAAGUCGAACGGCAGCACAGUAAGAGCUUGCUCUUACGGGUGGCGAGUGGCGGACGGGUGAGGAAUACAUCGGAAUCUACUUUUUCGUGGGGGAUAACGUAGGGAAACUUACGCUAAUACCGCAUACGACCUACGGGUGAAAGCAGGGGAUCUUCGGACCUUGCGCGAUUGAAUGAGCCGAUGUCGGAUUAGCUAGUUGGCGGGGUAAAGGCCCACCAAGGCGACGAUCCGUUGCUGGUGUGAGAGGCUGGUCAGCCACACUGGAACGGAGCCACGGUCCAGACUCCUACGGGAGGCAGCAGUGGGGAAUGUUGGACAAUGGGCGCAAGCCUUAUCCAGUCAUACCGCGUGGGUGAAGAAGGCCUUCGGGUUGGAAAGCCCUUUUGUUGGGAAAGAAAAGCAGCAGGUUAAUACCCCGCUGUUCUGACGGUACCCAAAGAAUAAGCACCGGCUAACUUCGUG